Molecule: long non-coding RNA, 856 nt
Organism: Carassius carassius (crucian carp)
Lineage: Eukaryota; Metazoa; Chordata; Actinopteri; Cypriniformes; Cyprinidae
Exons: 2
Source: RefSeq, a predicted model, not a curated record
AGCCUGGAAUCUGAAGUAGCGGUCCCCUCCACUCACGCGUUUUUCCAGAGGUGUCACCGCACCUGGACCAGAGCCCGCGAGACUCUGCUCCAGGUGAGGGAGCGCACUAAGGCCAAGGCCGAUCGCCACCGGUCAAAGCCUCCCGUCUACGUCGUGGGUCAAAAAGUGUGGCUUUCUACCAGUAACAUUCCUCUGCGAUCCGUUUCUAAUAAAUUAGCUCCCAAAUUUAUCGGCCCGUUCACUAUCACCAAAAUCAUUAGUCCGGUGACAGUCCACCUCAAAUUACCUCCUGCGUACAAGAGGAUACACCCCGCCUUUCAUGUGUCCAAAAUUAAACCCGUUUCUUAGAGGGGGGGGGGUACUGUCACGGUUGGUAAACCGUGAUCUCGGGGUGUUUACACUUUGUGGUGAAUUCUGUGUGUUCUGUGUCUGCACUGAUUAGUUGUGGGCGUCUCCAUUAAUUGUAUCAGCAACAGCUGCCACUCAUUACUCAUCCACUAUAUAAUGGCUUGUCUCACGUCUUGUGUUUGUGAGAUCGUUGUCUUAUGUUUGAUGUGGUUACCCUGUUCGUUGGCUCUCAGUGUCGUUUGCGUUUGGAUGUCUGUGUUUCCCUAGAACCUCAUCCUCUCUCCGCACAUUCACUCAGCCACGGACACUUACCUUCGGCUCUAUUCCCCGCAGUUCCUGUGCCAUCCUCUCCUGCUGCUUCACGCCGUCAUCAUCCGGAUUACUCACCUUCUCUCCACCAUCAGCUGGAUUCCUCACCUCUUCACCAUCCCCUCGGAGUGUCGCUGUCUCAUCAUCAUUGUUUGUUUAUGUACUCACUUUAUAUCUUCUCAUUAAAUCAGUAAACUUG